CCGCAUUUUACAACAUUUCACAACAAAACUUCGGAAUAUUACUAAUUUUGUGGUUUAUCAAGAUAAUUUUCUGUAAUGGACCUUUCCCCUUUUGAGUGAAAUUUUGAUCUAGACAAAUCUGGACAAAAAUUUCAUCACAGCUUGAAAGAGCAUGGUUCAAAUAUAUUAUUCCAGUUAGGUAUAAAGUCCAGUGGUGUACUGGUGUAGUUUUAGAAGAAUUUUUAUCAAUUUUAUGAACAUUUCGAAGCUUGGUUUAUAACAUCAGACAAAACUCUAACUGAAACUUUUAGUUUUUAGAAAUCUUACUGUUCAUAUUUCUGGUACAUUCCAAGGUUCCCGCCUGAAACCAACGGUCGUUUGGCCAGAAUAAUUUUCUCCUUUCCUUAAUUCCUUUCGCCCGUAAAAUGAAUGUUGACCAAUUUCUGAAGAUCACAGGUUGGCAUUUCGAAAACCAGAUUAAGCCGCCGGUCUACCACAGCCCUUACCUUGUAAUAAAUCUCGUCAACUACGGCAUGAUAUGUCUUGAAUUCGUACAACUGAUUUUUGAAGUACGGUGAUGCUUGGAUAUUUGUUAAAAUCAUAGUGUUUAAAUUCAUAGUUCGUUCGUUUCCCCAUACCGGUAACGUAUUAGGCUUCUUCUUUGUCUCCCCGUCCAUGAUAAAAUGCAGUAAAAUAAACAAUUUGCACGAAAUAAAUAAAAAAAUAAACGGAAUUCGCAAAGUGUGAAUGAAUAAAUUUUUCACUGGAAAAAUA
Paramuricea clavata is the source of this 753-nucleotide non-coding RNA. The record is from the annotation of a GenBank genome assembly. Lineage: Eukaryota; Metazoa; Cnidaria; Anthozoa; Malacalcyonacea; Plexauridae.